Molecule: long non-coding RNA, 2509 nt
Filed under: Gossypium barbadense (sea-island cotton)
Lineage: Eukaryota; Viridiplantae; Streptophyta; Magnoliopsida; Malvales; Malvaceae
Description: long non-coding RNA (GBAR_LNC000375)
Source: RNAcentral
AAGCUUUCAUCUUCUCCCUUGUAACCCAUCAUCUACUGCAUUACAAUCCCAGGCUUUCAAUGUGCCCAGAACGGUUUAGCUGGAGUGCGCUUCAGUGCCUUCACUGCCAAAGGAUUGCCCUUGCUCUGCCAAAAAAACAACUGUUUAAAACUUCAAUUGAAACAAAUAGAAUGAAAGGAUUGAUGACUUUGGACUUAAGCGUACCAUCAAGCAGGUGCCUUCAUGUAUGUUGCAGACAGGGUAGUCAUGAGGGCAGCAGCUGUAGCGAUCUUCGCAGCAAGUGGCAGCCUCGAGUGGGCAGCAUCCCCAAGCAAAGCAGUAGUUAUAGUACUCGUAUAUGCAGCAGCAGGUAUUGCUCUCGGGACAGGAAUAAUAACUAUCGCACACGGUCGGAGGCUUUAUAGGAGAUGGUGGAGACGGUCCGGGAUUGGGGGGAUUUUCACCUGUUUUGAUCGGAUAAGAGGCUUCCAUCGCGAUCCCACAUUUGCCAGUUACGGUAUUGGCCACAUUCCUUGCCAUCCUGAUAUAGCCUGCUUCUCCCCAGCUGCUUCCCCAUGAGUUCUUUACAAUCCAAUAGUCUUUACCUUUCUCUGUGCCAUAUCCAACAGCAGUGACACCGUGGUCUAGUUGUGUUCCACAUUUUCCAUCAAAUAUACCCUGGAAAAAAUCAUAAAAAUGUCAUUUAUCGGACAGUGCUCGGACUUUGAUAAGCCAGUUGUGUUCUUGCAGAAACUAGUAAUUUUGAUGGAUGCAGAAUCUUACUGAUUGAUAUAACUGGAAACUCCUUCCUCCUGCCUCAAUGGCAACGCUCACCGGUUGAUUCGCGACUGCCUUUUUCAAUGCUUUCUCGUCAUUUACCGGAACAUCCUCAUAAUCAUUGAUCGAAACAGCUUUAGCAUUUUUCUGCAAGGUGAUUAAAAACACCAAGAUUCAGCAAGGAAAUUGAAAUUCUAUCUUUGUUCCUUUCCCAACUCUAAAAAAAAUAUGAAACCUACCCGGUAAGGGUCACAUGUACCGUCACGAGCGGUGUAAGGGUAAUCUUCUUCGGUGUCAAUGCCACCAUUUUUGAUGAUGAAUUCAAAGGCAUAAUCCAUGAGACCCCCAUUGCAACCUUCAUUGUAAGAUGUAUCACAAUCCACCAACUCCUGCUCAGAUAGUGAAAGGAGUUCGCCUGUAACAAUCUGGUUUAUCCCUUCCACAGCAGCAAUAGUCGAGAAAGCCCAGCAACUCCCUGUAUUUAACAUUAAAUUCUCAGUAAAAUCAUCUUAUUACAAACAUGUAAUAACUAUUUAAUAUAUUAUAUAAAAACAUUGGAAUCUAUCAAUUCAUUAAGCUGUCUAUAUCUUAUAUGGUUCAACUUUUACAGUGGAGUAAGCCCCUGAACUUUCGUGCAAGGAACCUUACUCCUUACCCCACAGAAAGCAGCCACCUCAAGCACUAACACUUCCACUAACUGCAGGGCUGCGGAAGCAUCCUUAUAUCCGACACAAUACUACUAUAGGUCAUAGUUCAUGGGUCGGGUCUAACUUUCCGCGAACCGUUGCAUCUGUUCAAAAUGCUCCCACUCUAUAAAUCCAUCAAAAUUUCGGACAAAAUCGGAUGAUAAAACUGUACUUCUGAAGUCGACAAAUAUAUUUAUAUAUUUAUAUAUUUUAACCUAAUUAACUCAAAAAAUAAGUAAAUUAAUCUAUAUAUAUUAAAUCAAAAAAUAAAUCAAUCUUUUUUUGUUAAAUAUUUUAUCCUAUUAAAAACUAAUACCACUGAACGAAUAAUAAUACAGUGAGUCACUUAUUAGACCGAAAUCAAUUUUUAACUUAUGAGACCGAAAUCAAUUUUUAAGUUACUUACUUUUACCUUAUAUAAGAAACCUACAUAUAUCCAAUACUCCACCUCAAAAUCUGAAUAACCAAACAGAACCCACAAAGCAAAGGUUUCUAAGAUAAGGACAGAUACAGGAACCUUCCCUGAAACAUCGGAACUAAGUUAUUUGUUUAAUUUUUUUUUUGUUCUUUCUCUCCAGGUUUUACAGUUGGCUCAAAAUAAUUACAGUCUAUCUGGCGGCAGAAGACAUGGAUAGAUUCAUUUGACAGAAACAAAACAAAAUCAUCUGAAAGUAUAAGUUAAAAUGCUAGUUUUCAGACAGACAAGAGAAGCAUCCAUAAAAGAAAAUUGAGAGAGAAACUUACCGCAACUUCCUUGAUCUUUGACUUCAGCGACAGCCCCUUUUUCCCUCCAAUCAACGGAAUCGGGCAACUUUUGGCCGAGAAGCGGGGCGUAUCGGUCACUGGCCUUGGAAACUUUCCGGUUGGGUUUCUUGAUUCCCAAGUAGAUGGCUCGGUACUCCUCGUUGGUAAGAUCAGCAAAGCGGUUCAAACCAACCUUAAAACUGUGACUCUCAUCGGCGUUAUGUUCAUCGAUGAACCUAAGGUUAUCCUUAAAAAUCUGGAGCCUCCUCUCUUUCUCACCCAAACCGUUGUAUGUUUUUCCAUGCUUUACAAGCCACUCCUCG